Molecule: ribosomal RNA, 465 nt
Filed under: uncultured bacterium
Lineage: Bacteria
Description: partial 16S ribosomal RNA
Rfam family: Bacterial small subunit ribosomal RNA
Source: RNAcentral
CCUACGGGGUGCUGCAGUAGGGAAUCUUCCACAAUGGGCGAAAGCCUGAUGGAGCAACGCCGCGUGGGUGAAGAAGGUCUUCGGAUCGUAAAACCCUGUUGUUAGAGAAGAAAGUGCGUGAGAGUAACUGUUCACGUUUCGACGGUAUCUAACCAGAAAGCCACGGCUAACUACGUGCCAGCAGCCGCGGGAAUACGUAGGUGGCAAGCGUUAUCCGGAUUUAUUGGGCGUAAAGGGAACGCAGGCGGUCUUUUAAGUCUGAUGUGAAAGCCUUCGGCUUAACCGGAGUAGUGCAUUGGAAACUGGGAGACUGGAGUGCAGAAGAGGAGAGUGGAACUCCAUGUGUAGCGGUGAAAUGCGGAGAUAUAUGGAAGAACACCAGUGGCGAAAGCGGCUCUCUGGUCUGUAACUGACGCUGAGGUUCGAAAGCGUGGGUAGCAAACAGGAUUAGAUACCCUGGUAGUC